UAGAGCAUCAGACUUUUAAUCUGAGGGUCGUGGGUUCGAGUCCUCCAGAAGGCG
This 54-nucleotide transfer RNA is filed under the name Toxocara canis (dog roundworm). It matches the Rfam family "tRNA", at positions 19 to 71 of the family's 71-position model. From Rfam's summary of the family: Transfer RNA (tRNA) molecules are approximately 80 nucleotides in length. Their secondary structure includes four short double-helical elements and three loops (D, anti-codon, and T loops). Further hydrogen bonds mediate the characteristic L-shaped molecular structure. tRNAs have two regions of fundamental functional importance: the anti-codon, which is responsible for specific mRNA codon recognition, and the 3' end, to which the tRNAs corresponding amino acid is attached (by aminoacyl-tRNA synthetases). tRNAs cope with the degeneracy of the genetic code in two manners: having more than one tRNA (with a specific anti-codon) for a particular amino acid; and 'wobble' base-pairing, i.e. permitting non-standard base-pairing at the 3rd anti-codon position. The record is from Rfam by way of RNAcentral. Lineage: Eukaryota; Metazoa; Nematoda; Chromadorea; Rhabditida; Toxocaridae.